GGAUGUGAGGGCGAUCUGGCUGAGACAUCUGUCACCCUAUUGAUGGCCAGGGUUGAUUUGGCUAAUCUGGCUGGCUAGGUGGGUGUCCUCUUCCUACCUCACCACUCCAUAUGCGUCCCUCCCGAAGCUGCAUGCUAGGUCAAAGAGGACAGUCUUCCCCAAAUAGAGAAGGACAGGUCUUCAGUCGAGGGUAUAGAAUAGCUGAGCUCCCCAAGCUUUCAAGGUCCAUUUGUAGGAGAAUGUAGGGUAGUCAAACUUUCAAGACUCCAGACACAUCCAAAUGAGGCGCUGCAUGUGGCAGUCAUAUAUAUAU
This 313-nucleotide small nuclear RNA is filed under the name Erinaceus europaeus (western European hedgehog). Its description in RNAcentral is "7SK RNA". It matches the Rfam family "7SK RNA". From Rfam's summary of the family: 7SK was discovered as an abundant small nuclear RNA in the mid-70s but a possible function has only recently been suggested. The record is from Rfam by way of RNAcentral. Lineage: Eukaryota; Metazoa; Chordata; Mammalia; Eulipotyphla; Erinaceidae.